RNAcentral lists this ribosomal RNA (497 nucleotides) under uncultured bacterium. RNAcentral describes it as "partial 16S ribosomal RNA". It matches the Rfam family "Bacterial small subunit ribosomal RNA", at positions 28 to 507 of the family's 1533-position model. The record is from RNAcentral.
GAUGAACGCUGGCGGCGUGCCUAAUACAUGCAAGUCGAGCGAACAGACGAGGAGCUUUCUCCUCUGACGUUAGCGGCGGACGGGUGAGUAACACGUGGAUAACCUACCUAUAAGACUGGGAUAACUUCGGGAAACCGGAGAUAAUACCGGAUAAUAUAUUCAACCGCAUGGUUCAAUAGUGAAAGACGGUUUUGCUGUUACUUAUAGAUGGUUCCGCGCCGCAUUAGCUAGUUGGUAAGGUAACGGCUUACCAAGGCGACGAUGCGUAGCCGACCUGAGAGGGUGAUCGGCCACACUGGAACUGAGACACGGUCCAGACUCCUACGGGAGGCAGCAGUAGGGAAUCUUCCGCAAUGGGCGAAAGCCUGACGCAGCAACGCCGCGUGAGUGAUGAAGGUCUUCGGAUCGUAAAACUCUGUUAUUAGGGAAGAACAAAUGUGUAAGUAACUAUGCACGUCUUGACGGUACCUAAUCAGAAAGCCACGGCUAACUACGUG